This 1488-nucleotide ribosomal RNA is filed under the name Triticum aestivum (bread wheat). RNAcentral describes it as "partial small subunit ribosomal RNA". Lineage: Eukaryota; Viridiplantae; Streptophyta; Magnoliopsida; Poales; Poaceae. The record is from RNAcentral.
AUGCUAUUCUGCCAUGCCACGGAGAGCGACAUAACUGCGGUCAAGGAAAUCCUUGGCCUGUUUGGCGGAGCGUCCGGCCUCAAAGUAAAUUACGCCAAGAGCUCGGCCACGGUCUUGCAUGGGGAGCAGGUUGCCACUGAGAUCAUCGCCGGCCUGGGCUGUUCGACCGCUGAGCUCCCAGUCACCUACCUCGGCAUACCAUUGACGACGCGCCGCCCGUCCGCCGGUCAGCUACAGCCCUUGGUCGACAGGGUCGCCGGGCGCUUACCCACCUGGAAAGCAUGGCUUAUGAACAGAGCCGGCAGGCUUGCCCUCGUCAAGUCGGUUCUCUGCGCGAUCCCGGUGCACCAGCUGCUUGCUUUUGCCCCCACGAAGAAAACUCUGCGGCAGCUCGAGAAGAUUCAACGGGGAUUCUUAUGGGCUGGGCGAGCCGUCGCCAACGGCGGUCACUGCCAUGUGAACUGGCGCCUUGUCUCCCGCCCCCUCGAGCUUGGAGGUCUCGGGGUUCGCGACCUCGAGCGCACCGGGCUUGCGCUCAGACUGCGGUGGCUAUGGCUCUCGCGAACUGACGAGGGACGCGCCUGGCAAGGGCUGGAUCUCCAAUUCUCCUGCCAUGAGCGCUCCCUGUUCUUUGCUUCCACCUUCAUGGCCAUUGGGAACGGCAUCAAAGCCCUGUUCUGGGAGGAUCGAUGGCUCAACGGGCGCUCCGUCGGCGAGCUCAUGCCCCUGCUCUACAACUGCGUCCCCAAACAACGGCGCAAGGUUAGAACGGUGGCCGAAGGCCUCAACGGCAACGCUUGGGCCCGUGACAUCCAGGGCGUUCUCGGCCUCCACGAGAUCGGUCAGUACCUGCAGCUUUGGCACCUCGCGCAGCAGGCCACACUUCGCGAUGCCCCCGAGCAACUGAUCUGGAAGUGGACCACGAGCGGCAUCUAUUCUGCGCAGACUUGCUACAUGGCCACCUUCCAAGGAUCCACGCACUCCUACUCCUGGAAGCUGAUUUGGAAGGCGUGGGCUCCCCCGAGGGUCAAGUUUUUCCAUUGGCUCGCUAACCUGGAUCGCUGCUGGACCGCCGACCGCCUAGCCCGCCAUGGCCUGCAGCAUCAUCCGCGCUGUCUUCUGUGCGAUCAGGCACCAGAAACGAUCCGGCACCUCUUGCUUGACUGCCCCUUCUCGAGGCAGGCAUGGCACGAGACCCUGGCGUGGCUGCGCAUCCCAGCGCCGAUCCCCAACCAGGAGCCCACCCUCAUGGACUGGUGGCAACACGCCAAGCACAACAUGCCACAAGCACAACGCAAGGCCCUGCAAUCCGUAGCGCUCCUAGUACCGUGGCUCAUCUGGAAGCAUAGGAACAGCUGCGUUUUCGAUAACGCGACGCCUUCCCUCGGCACGCUCGUCGACCGAAUCAAGGAGGAAGCCGGCUCCUGGGCUAAGGCCGGAGCGGCAGGUCUUAGAGUAGUCCUCCCCCCUACAUGGGACGUGCACUGA